ACCAAACGCAGUGCGUUUGACGGGCUCUCCGGAUUUCUUGGCUCUUGCAAGUUGCAACGCCAGAAAGCCGCUGAGUCAAAAGCCCUAGCUCCUAAACGCUCUGCGCGCAUCAUACCCAAACGGUGAACCCCUCCCGUCCGGUGUCACCUCGACGGGCCAGUAGCUUCCUCAGUCAAACGUAGCUCAAUCAAAAGCUGAGGCCCUCCCGAGUCACCAAGCUGUGUGGCUUUUGCUGUCUCAAAAAUUGUUAGUCUUUCCGCCCCCAUCUCCUGCAAAUUCUAUUUUCUCUUUACAAAGCUUUGUGUACCUUCACAGCUGAGCCGACUUCUGAUUUUUUUUCCAGCCAUUCCAUUCUCGUUUCUUCCUAUGUGGAUUUUUCAUUAUCAGAUUAUCAUCAAAAUACCAAUCUUCACGUCUCAAUCUAAGCUAUUUCCUUCUCCUUAACCAUACUAUAUAUCCUAGCACGGAGGUGGACAUUCUGUAUUUCAGUCUCCUGUCAUUAGAGAGAGAGAGAGAGAUGGCAGCAUUUUGCCUUUCACAUGCUUCUCGCAGGUUACGGAUUCCUCCAUUCUCGUACUCACUCGCUCGCUCGCUCUUUGAUCCUUCCUCUUUGGCUUCCUUGACAGACCCUAAAUGCUCAGUGCCCCAUUGCAAGCCUCCUGUCCAUCUCAGAACUCUAGAACCCAAAUACCGUUUGAUUGAUGAUUUUAGAUUUACUUAUAGUAAAUAUGACCGUUGUAAUUUGAAUAUAUCCAUUGCAACCAUAUCUACCUCUUCUGGUAUGGCGAAGGGAACCAAUAGUGGUUUGGAUGGGGGUUCAAAGGUCGAGCAGUCAUGGAUCGAUCUGUAUCUUCCUCAGGCAGUACAGCCUUAUGCUCGGCUCGCUCGGUUGGAUAAGCCAAUUGGGACCUGGUUACUUGCCUGGCCAUGUAUGUGGUCAAUUACCUUGGCAGCAUCUCCUGGUAGCCUUCCUGAUAUUAAGAUGUUGUCACUAUUUGGUUGUGGGGCAUUGCUGUUAAGAGGUGCUGGAUGUACAGUGAAUGACCUUCUGGACCACGAUAUUGACUCCAAGGUUGAGCGCACAAAGUUGAGGCCAGUUGCAAGUGGUCUUUUGACACCAUUUCAGGGCCUUAGCUUUCUUGGGUGUCAACUGCUUUUGGGACUUGGGAUUCUCCUUCAACUAAACAAUUAUAGCCGUGUUUUGGGGGCAUCAUCAUUGCUUCUAGUCUUCUCCUAUCCCCUCAUGAAGAGGCUGACAUUUUGGCCUCAAGCAUAUUUAGGUUUAACCUUCAACUGGGGAGCUUUAUUAGGAUGGGCUGCAGUCAAAGGAGAUUUGGAUCCCACUGUUGUCCUUCCACUAUAUGUUUCUGGAGUGUUUUGGACACUUGUAUAUGAUACAAUUUAUGCACAUCAGGAUAAAGAAGAUGAUCUGAAAGUGGGUGUUAAAUCUACAGCCUUGAGGUUUGGGGAUCUGACAAAGAACUGGGUUUCUGGAUUUGGGAUUAUAUGUAUUAAUAGCCUUGCUAUCAGCGGAUUUAAUGCUGACAUCGGUGUGCACUUUCUUCUUCUUCUUUGGACAGGAUGGCCAUUCUAUCCAUUUUUGAUGGCUGCAGCUGGACAAUUGGCAUGGCAAAUCUGGGCAGUUGACCUGUCAAAUCGUGCGGAUUGCAAUCGAAAGUUUGUGUCCAACAAGUGGUUUGGAGCUAUCAUCUUUACUGGGAUCUUGUUUGGAAAGAUGACGUCAUGAUGGGAAUUGGCAUUUACAUAAGGAGUGUGGGGUGCCUAACACCUUCCGUCUGUUCAAAUUCGAAUACCGUGAGUCCUGUCACUCCCUUUUUCUCUUCAAUGAUGGGUGGAGGCUCCAACAAUUAGACAUGCAAUGGGCUACCUUCCGGUGCUCACAAUGUUGUGAGUGAAUUGCUUCGUGAGGAACAACGUCUUCUAACACAAACCACUCUUGAACAGGAGAAAAUGAAUACAACACACAUGGCAUUUUCGGUUCACGGAAAAAGCAAGGGUAAAGAUAUGAGUAAGGUUCAGUGUUUUAGUUGCAAGAAUUAUGGGCAUAUUGCAGCAAAUUGUACCCAGAAAUUUUGCAAUUAUUGCAAAAAGCAUGGGCACAUCAUCAAAGAUGUUUGACUCGCCCUCAAAAUCGUCAAAACACUGCUUUUCAAGCAACAGUUGGCAAUUCUUCUACAGAUCAGAUUCAAACUGGGCCCUCAACUAUGUCAGCAAUCAAUCAAAAUGCUCAAUCUAUUGUUCUUACUCCUGAAAUGGUGCAACAAAUGAUUGUUUUAGCCCUCUUAGCUCUGAGACUCCAAGGAUCAGGAAUCGGGGACGGUGAUCGCGAAGGGGCCUAAAGUCGGACGUUUAUUUCCUCUGCACAUUUCCAUUCCUAGUAAUGUUUCUUUUGCAUGUUCUGCUAUUAGUAAUAAAAAUGAGGUGUGGCAUAAAUGUUUGGAACACCCCAAUUCUACUAUAUUGUCUUACUUGUUGAAUUCUGKUUUAUUAGGCAAUAAUGAUAAAAUUUCAAGCCUUUCGUUUGAUUGUUCAACUUGUAAAUUGGGAAAAAGUAAAAUUCUUCUUUUUCCUCU
Molecule: non-coding RNA, 2594 nt
Organism: Nelumbo nucifera (sacred lotus)
Lineage: Eukaryota; Viridiplantae; Streptophyta; Magnoliopsida; Proteales; Nelumbonaceae
Source: RefSeq, a predicted model, not a curated record